GCGGGAGUCCCAUAGUGGCAAUUGGAUCGGCUUUAGGAGCCGACGGCUCAGUGCCUGCGCAGGUUCGAUUCCUGUCUCCCGCA
This 83-nucleotide transfer RNA is filed under the name archaeon. RNAcentral describes it as "tRNA-Leu". It matches the Rfam family "tRNA". From Rfam's summary of the family: Transfer RNA (tRNA) molecules are approximately 80 nucleotides in length. Their secondary structure includes four short double-helical elements and three loops (D, anti-codon, and T loops). Further hydrogen bonds mediate the characteristic L-shaped molecular structure. tRNAs have two regions of fundamental functional importance: the anti-codon, which is responsible for specific mRNA codon recognition, and the 3' end, to which the tRNAs corresponding amino acid is attached (by aminoacyl-tRNA synthetases). tRNAs cope with the degeneracy of the genetic code in two manners: having more than one tRNA (with a specific anti-codon) for a particular amino acid; and 'wobble' base-pairing, i.e. permitting non-standard base-pairing at the 3rd anti-codon position. The record is from RNAcentral.